Triticum aestivum (bread wheat) is the source of this 125-nucleotide non-coding RNA. The record is from Rfam. Lineage: Eukaryota; Viridiplantae; Streptophyta; Magnoliopsida; Poales; Poaceae.
GGUGUACUCCCUCCGUUCCGAAUUACUUGUCUUAGAUUUGUCUAGAUACGGAGGUAUCUAGCAUUUAGAUACAUCCGUAUCUGGACAAAUCCAAGAUAAGUAAUUCGGAACGGAGGGAGUACGUA